UGGCUUCAAUUUCUUCCAGCGCCUGGAGACCACCGCUAGCCGUCCGUCCACUCGUCCGUCAACCCAGCCCGUCCACUCGUCCGUCAACCCGUCCACUCGUCCGUCAACCCGUCCACUCGUCCGUCAGCCCGUACACUCGUCCGUCAACCCGUCCACUCGUCCGUCAACCCGUCCACUCGUCCGUCAGUCCAUACACUCGUCCAUCAACCCGUCCACUCGUCCGUCAACCCGUACACUCGUCCGUCAGUCCAUACACUCGUCCAUCAACCCGUCCACUCGUCCAUCAACCCGUACACUCGUCCGUCAGCCCAUACACUCGUCCGUCAACCCGUCCACUCGUCCAUCAACCCGUCCACUCGUCCAUCAACCCGUCCACUCGUCCAUCAACUCACCAGGAACUCCGACCAACGAUGGCCGCUAAAACAGCACAUGUCUUCAAGAAAACCAGCUCCAAUGGGAAGGUGACAGUCUACAUGGCAAAAACGAGACUUUAUCGACAUCUGGACCACGUGGAUCCUGUUUGGUAAGUAAUCAUCAGCAGCAUCAUCUGCAUCAUCAUCAGCAUCAUAAUCAGCAUCAUCAUCAGCA
Molecule: non-coding RNA, 588 nt
Organism: Petromyzon marinus (sea lamprey)
Lineage: Eukaryota; Metazoa; Chordata; Hyperoartia; Petromyzontiformes; Petromyzontidae
Source: RefSeq, a predicted model, not a curated record